This is a long non-coding RNA of Pteronotus mesoamericanus, 553 nucleotides long. RefSeq lists it as uncharacterized. The transcript has 3 exons. The record is from RefSeq and is a predicted model, not a curated record. Lineage: Eukaryota; Metazoa; Chordata; Mammalia; Chiroptera; Mormoopidae.
GUUGAGAGGACAGAACAAUGCUUAGUGGAACCUCGGAAGACUCUCCGAAGCUAACUUCAAUAAACAAAGCUCCAGAGUCAAAAAUAGUAAUAACAACAACAACACAGGCCAGUUUGGAUGAACUCCUGGGUUAGGGCGCUAUGUAACGUGAGUCCCUUUACUCUUCCUCUUGGCCAUCUGCUGAGAUCAGGUGAGGUCCAGCCGCACGGCCUCCCUGAGAUCACUCAGGCCUGGGAGCUUCUGCCCAAUGAUCCCUGAGAAGCUUGCCUGGGCUAUCAGACCAGCAAUUAAUGAGCAUCAGCGAGUGACAGGUUGGGAAAGAAAAUCAUGAAAAGGCUGGCUCUUGGCCACACUUCUAGGUAACAAGACUGAAAAGGAAAUGAUCGGGAGCUCUGAUGCUGGUACAACAAACAUCCCUGGGAACUAGAUAGAAAACAAACCCAAGAUGAUUCUGAAAGAGGAGGAGAAGACAGACCUGCUCUGGACCACAUGACCAAGGAAUGACAUGGUGGUGAGUUCCACGGGUUUUCUUUUUGUUCAUCUAUCUCAGACA